ACUAGGCGAGCGAUCAGACAAAUAACGCAGCUAUUUCAGAGAACGAACGAAGCCACUGCCGAGAGCAGGGUGUGAGGGGUAAGGGGUGGCGGAAAAACUCUCGUGCCGCGCAGGCGCGAGGGGACGAAAACUAUGCACUGCGCAUGCCUCACAGGGUCGGAGGAGGAGGGACGUAUCACUGCGCACGCGCAGAAAUGAAACUGCAGCUUACCGCGCAUGCGAGCGAAGAUUGCCUCGAACAACGGCGUUCAGGUGCAUGCGUAGUUUGCAUACGGGAUUCGGAGGCGGCUACUGCGCAAGCGAGGAGGGAAAUAAACAAACCCCUAACUUGCCAAAAGGGGACACACUUAUUCCAAGAUGAAAGCAGGAACUGUGAAGCAAACGGCCUUGAGCAUGAAGAACUGGCUGCAUGAGCAAGAUGCAUGCAUCUUAAGAUGGUGUCCACUGUUCAAACACACAGCAAGAGAAAGUUUGCAGGAAAGCUUGCAGACCAUUUUUGCCUGGAACCUGUCAAGAAUGGAGGAAGGUGCUGGACCAAGAAAUAUUUUUACUCUCUAGCCUACAGCCUAGUCUAGAGUGGCAGUAACCAGGGUCCUUUUGGAUCAACUCUGCAACUCCUGUUUCAACAGGCUUUGGGCAUUCUAUGUUGGCUUGAAGUGUACAGUUACAGGAUGAUGAACUGGCCAACUCUGGGGUGAAGUAUGGGGUUCCCCUCUCCAUGAAGGGUGUGUAUAGGGAAGCAGUAAGCAGGAGGCCAAGAAUGCAAUUCUCUGCACUAAAAGAAUUGUCAGGUACCAGUCUGAAGCAGGUGCUUAACAGGCUAACUCCAUCAACAUCUGCCAGAUGCUAG
Long non-coding RNA from Hemicordylus capensis (graceful crag lizard), 850 nucleotides. RefSeq lists it as uncharacterized. NCBI's taxonomy places the organism in Eukaryota, Metazoa, Chordata, Lepidosauria, Squamata, Cordylidae. The record is from RefSeq and is a predicted model, not a curated record. The transcript is spliced from 5 exons.